GGGGUUGUAGCUCAGUGGUAGAGUGCUUGUCUAGCAUGUGUGAAGCCCUGGGUUUGACCUCAGCACCACCU
Molecule: transfer RNA, 71 nt
Filed under: Marmota marmota marmota (Alpine marmot)
Lineage: Eukaryota; Metazoa; Chordata; Mammalia; Rodentia; Sciuridae
Also listed under: 1 other name
Rfam family: tRNA
About the family: Transfer RNA (tRNA) molecules are approximately 80 nucleotides in length. Their secondary structure includes four short double-helical elements and three loops (D, anti-codon, and T loops). Further hydrogen bonds mediate the characteristic L-shaped molecular structure. tRNAs have two regions of fundamental functional importance: the anti-codon, which is responsible for specific mRNA codon recognition, and the 3' end, to which the tRNAs corresponding amino acid is attached (by aminoacyl-tRNA synthetases). tRNAs cope with the degeneracy of the genetic code in two manners: having more than one tRNA (with a specific anti-codon) for a particular amino acid; and 'wobble' base-pairing, i.e. permitting non-standard base-pairing at the 3rd anti-codon position.
Source: Rfam by way of RNAcentral